GAUGAACGCUAGCGGCAGGCCUAAUACAUGCAAGUCGAACGCUCAGUAGCAAUACUGGGAGUGGCGCACGGGUGCGUAACGCGUACACAAUCUACCUCUAAGCGGGGGACACCUCCUGGAUACGGGGAUUAAUACCGCAUAAUAUGCCGAAGUCGCAUGACUUUGGUAUUAAAGCAGCAAUGCACUUAGAGAUGAGUGUGCGUCCCAUUAGGUAGUUGGUGAGGUAACGGCUCACCAAGCCUAUGAUGGGUAGCCGGUCUGAGAGAAUGGUCGACCACACGGGCACUGAGACACGGGCCCGACUCCUACGGGAGGCAGCAGUAAGGAAUAUGGUCAAUGGUGGAAACACUGAACCAGCCAUGCCGCGUGGAGGAAUAAGGU
Molecule: ribosomal RNA, 381 nt
Filed under: uncultured bacterium
Lineage: Bacteria
Description: bacterial SSU rRNA
Rfam family: Bacterial small subunit ribosomal RNA
Source: RNAcentral